UAAAGCGCAGAAAGCCCUGGCACUUGGC
This 28-nucleotide non-coding RNA is filed under the name Homo sapiens (human). The record is from RNAcentral. Lineage: Eukaryota; Metazoa; Chordata; Mammalia; Primates; Hominidae.